CGUAGGGGCGAGCGUUGUCCGGAAUCAUUGGGCGUAAAGCGCGUGUAGGCGGCUUGGUAAGUCCGGUGUGAAACCUUGGGGCUCAACCCCAAGCCUGCACUGGAUACUGCCUCGCUUGAGUCCGGGAGGGGAGAGCGGAAUUCCUAGUGUAGCGGUGAAAUGCGCAGAUAUUAGGAAGAACACCGGUGGCGAAGGCGGCUCUCUGGAACGGUACUGACGCUGAGACGCGAAAGCGUGGGGAGCGAACAGGAUU
RNAcentral lists this ribosomal RNA (253 nucleotides) under uncultured bacterium. RNAcentral's name for it is "partial 16S ribosomal RNA". It matches the Rfam family "Bacterial small subunit ribosomal RNA", at positions 526 to 779 of the family's 1533-position model. The record is from RNAcentral.